This 24-nucleotide microRNA is filed under the name Zea mays. RNAcentral describes it as "microRNA miR-3170". Lineage: Eukaryota; Viridiplantae; Streptophyta; Magnoliopsida; Poales; Poaceae. The record is from RNAcentral.
AUAGCGACAAACAUUUGUGGACGG